CAAUCUCCUCCCACACACUUUCUUUACCCUUCAUAACUUCCUCAAAUCUCACCCUCUCACAACCCAUUUCUUCUCCAAACCCAUAAUUCUCAAUCUCAAACUGCUCAGCCAACACUUUCCAUAAAUGCUUCCACUUAAAAACAUCUCCAUUGGUGCAAUUGAAAGCUUCNNNNNNNNNNNNNNNNNNNNNNNNNNNNNNNNNNNNNNNNNNNNNNNNNNNNNNNNNNNNNNNNNNNNNNNNNNNNNNNCACAUCUCUGGUCCCAUGAAAUACUAGAGGAGCACCUUCGUGUUUACAAAUAGCUGCGUACACGCAGAGAGUGCCUAUAAUAUGCAUCAAACUAUAAGGUGAAAACCCAAAUAUUCCGGAAGGCCGGUGUAUGGACCAAGCUAAGCCCUCUCUUUUGUCAACUUCUUCAAACAAUAUAUCUUCCUGAUUAUAGUAAAAAAGCGGCACGUUUAGUCUUGGCAAAUCCUCAGUAAAAGGCGGAUCGUGAGACGGUAUCUUGCCAAUACACUCGAAUGGACCCACGUAAUGUUUGCCUCCCGUUUGGAGACAGAUGUGGCGGACAUUAGGCGCAUUCGGGAUUACAGAACGGAGCACGUUACGAAACAUGGCGCCGUUGAUCUUGCAAUUCUCGGCUUCAGUGGGACGGCUGGCCCACGUCACAUAGAAGAUGUGGGUGACGUCAGUGAGUUUUGAGAGCUUGGCUUGCGUAUCAUCCCGGUCGGAAAUGUCGCAUUGGAUGUAAUCAAUAGGGUACCUGGCGUUCCAAUUAGGCCUGGGGCGUCGGGCCACCCCGUGGACCUUCCACGGGCCACCGGGGGUAUCUGGUCGGGGCAAAAUCUCAGCUAGGCUGUUGCCUACAAUUCCUGUCACGCCUACUACAAGUCCCACGUUCUGGUAGUCUUGAGGUCGCGCAUCUUCUUCCAAUUUGUUCUGUACAGCGAAAAUUAAACAAACAUUAUUUUAAAUAUCAGCAUGUUACGUGUAUGUAUAAGCUUUUCAAGUGAAGAGAGACAAUUAGGGGGUCGAUCUUUACCUUAGCAGCGCCAAUACUACCUGCCCACCGCCAGCUCAUUUUUUGAUGAAUCUGGAAAAUUGAUGAUAAGUUUAGAGACUGCUUAUCUAUAAACAAUUAUACGAGCACUUUCUAGAAGGUAAUUUUCAGUUGAAGUUAGAUAAUGUGAAUAUGUGAUCAAUAAUGAAAGAUCCAAUAUCAUAAUGUGUGGUGAAAUGUGGUUCCGGCUAAAGGCCAAGCUUCACACUGUCAUUGUCAGUCAGUUUGCUUUCCCGCAGUUUUCAAGCUCGGUGCCAACUCAAAUAAAUAAGUAGGCCAGUGUCGGUGACCAUUGCAAUAAAAUCGCCCUAUGAUUAUUACGGAAGCUUCAGUACGUGGACCCUGAGUUUUAAACCUAAAAUCAAAUAUAUGUCUCUUUACUUUUAUAAUUUGCUUAAGGCACACCAGUCAGUUUUGGGACAAAAAGAGUCUUCGAUUUGUAUUUUCAUGGAAAUAAUCAAAACAUUUGAUAUUGAGGUACUGUAACUUUGAAAUUAUAAGUACAAUUAAAAAAAUAAUUGUAACUAUGAAUUAAAAAUUAAUAAUUUCUAGUAAAUAUGACUAUUAAAUAAUAAUUUUGAUAAAAAUAAUAUAUAUAUUAUAGUUUAUUCGUCAUACAGGUAUGAGAUUAAAUUAAUUUAAUUUAUAAAUCAAAGCUAGUAUAUACUAAAUAGUUGUAACUUUUAAGCUGUAGCUACUUAACUUUAAUAUCAAAAUAGGCCUUAGAGCCCGUUUGGAAUUAUUUUUAGGAGUUCCCAAAAGUAAUUUUGAAAAAGUAAAUGUCAAUUUUGGUGUUCGGAAAAUUUUUAAAAAAAUUACUUUUAGCAAGAUCACCCCAUCCUAUAGCAAGUUUUUCAAAAUAGGGAUGCAGUAUCUUUUUAGUAUCGGAUUUUGAAAAUCAGUUUUAUAUUUAAUACAAUUUCAUAAAUCUUCAAAUAUAUUAUAAAAAUCUAAAAUUAUCCUUAUUAAUUACGAAAUAAAAUAAUUAAUUUUAAAGAGAUUGUUAUCACCAAUUAUAUUAAGAUAACCAAAUAAAAUCAAUAAUUUAAAAUAUUUAUUUUAGUUAUCAAUUAUUAUAUAUAUACAAUAAAAAAUAUUUUUCAUACAUGUUUAUAAAAUGCGUAAAUAAAUUAAAUAAAUUUUAUUCAACAUUGUGUCCAAUUAAUUUAUUUAUAUUCUUACAACAGUUUAAUAGUAAUAUGAUUAUAGAAGCCAAAACAUCAAUUUUUUUGGUUAUCAAAUGGUGUAAAAAGUCAAAUGAACACAAAAUGCAUUUGUAGUCUAUUGAAAUAUCAAAAUUGUAAAUACACAUAGGAACCUCGUACAAGCGAUUGUGAAACUCGAUAUAUGAAUAAAUGAAGAAUUCUUUUUUUUCUCUUAAAUUUUAGGAAAUAGUUAAAGAUGUUCAUAUGAAUGAAUGGAAGUUUUUUUUUUCUCAUCUCAUUAAUUCAUGUGAAUAUCCAUGAAGUUUAUUUGAAUGAACAAUUUUUUUUUCUCAAUAAAUAUGCCAUAAUGAAAAAAGUUUUGGCUCUUGUGUAAAAUUUGAAAAUCAUAAAAAAAAUAUAUCAAUAAAAUAAUUCUACAUAAUCUAUGCUCACCAAUUAUUAGGGAGGGUAAAUGCUCAUUUAAUCCAUAUAUUUUGACAUAACUAACUUUUCAACCAUAUUAUUGUUGGAAAAAAAAAACAGUCCUUUGAUUUGUAAUUUUUAGCUAGUUAUACAAAUUUUGCAAGUUUCUAAAUCUCACCUCCACUAGGCAAACUUACGUAAAUAAUCAAAAGAGAGACGUCAUAUUUAAUUUAGAAGUUGCUCUCGUUUAGGCCCUAUUUGAUAUUGAAAUGUUGUAGCAUAGUAAGAAAAAAGAAAAACAAAGUUGCAACUAUUAAAAAAAAUUUGAUAAUGUAUAAUAAAAUAAUUAUUAAAUAAUAAUUUGACAAAAAUAAUAAAGACACUAUAGGUUUUUUCAUACAAGUGUGGGAUCAAAUCAACUUAAUUUCUAAGCUACAAUAGCUAGUGUUUACUAAAUACUUUGAUACUGUAACUUUUAAGAUACAGCUGCCCAACCUUAGGUUUAAAUCGUUUAUAAGGUAAUAAUAGACAUGACUCUAGAAGCUAAAACAUCAAUUUCUUUUCUUUUUUUAAUUAUCAGAUAGUGUAAAACAUCAAACGGAAACAACUAAAUAUGUGAUCCUAUUGUUGUGAAUAUAUCAAAAUUAUCCUCAAAUUAUGAAUCUCUGCCAUUUACAAAAAAGAAUUUAGUACAAGUGAAUGUGAAAGUUGAUAUGCAAAUAAAUGAAUAAUUCUUUUUUUGAAACGACCCGUCCCGCACCCCAGGGCGAGUCUAUCUAAACUCGUAUAAUCGAAUCGAUAAUAAUUAUGAUAUCUAAGAAUUCUAUCAAAAAUUCGACAGAAUCUCCCCUAUAAAUAAAACAUCCCCAAACCUGCAAUUUACAAAAUAAUUCAAUAUCCAUCCAUCCUUCAUAACCAACUUCUCAAGUCAACAUAUCAAAUAUCACCCAAAUCAUUCUAAUAUUAAAAUACAAUGGUUAUCCUUAAUUACAAAAUUAAUAAAUAAAUACAAUUCGCAAUAUCCCAAAUAUCAAAAUAUUAAAUCUACGACUCCUAGCACCAUCACAUGGCCACAAUUUCAAAUCUAACUAUCGUUGCUGGGUCGACUGAUAUACCUGCAAAUCUCCUGUGAGGGGGAAAAAUAUAAUAAAAAUUGGGUAAAUAUAAAACUCAGUGAGCUCAGUGAGUGUAUAGUAGUUUUUGAAAAAAUAAAUUUAUUUAAAAUAAUUUAAACUUUCUCAAAUCAAUUUCAUCAAAAUAUCAUAAGAACUUAUAUAAACAUAUUCAAUUCAAAUCAUUCAUUGAAAUAACUAUAUUACAUAAAUCUGCAUAAAAUCAAUGAAAUCAUAAUAAUUAUAAUAUCAAAUGCUGAAUAUAAAAAACUAUCAUCAAACAAGUACCCAGGGAAAUGAUCUCAUCAUAUCCGGACCUCGACGGACGGGCAAUCAGGGAACCAUCAUGCCCUGGAGCUACAACGGAUAGACGGGGAAAUCUCAUCUCAUAUCUCAUGUAUUUGAACAUCUGUAUCUCUAUAAUCAUCAUACUGCAUGCAUAAGCCCCCAAAAGGCAAAAGCGCCCAAACACACGGCCCAAAGCCUCUAUGUGUGUUCAGACGGGCCCCAAAGGCCUCUAUCUCAUCUCAUAUGUAUCUCUGUAUUCAUCUCGUAUUAUCUGUAUCUCUGUAUCUGGAGAGGAAGGGUACUGUCCAAUGAUUUUUCAAACAACAUUUUAUACACAUGUACAUAAACAUAUAAUCACAUCUGAAAUCUCAUUUUCUUUUUAUUCAACAUAUCUCAAAUCCACUCAAUUCUAAUAUCAUGCAUCUACUAAAAAACAAUAAUAAAAUCAUUAAUCAAACUCAUUCUUAAUAACAAUAAAUAUCAACACACAGAUAAAAAUCAAUUUUCUAGAAAAUCAUUAAAUCGAAGCAUCAAAUACUUAUUUAUCAAAACAUACUGCACUGUAUCAUAAAAUUAGCAUAUACUAUGAAAAUAGAUUUUGUAUAUUCCACUCACAGUGACGAAGUCUAGACUCGGUAUCAACAGUGUCUGCGGGUUAAUUCUCAUUCACGGAUCCUCCUAAUUAAGGAAAUGACAUAAUUAUUCUCCAUAAAUUUGAAAUACAACUAAUUUUACAUAAUAAUUCUCGAAGCGAAUAUCUAUCAACAAUAAACUAUUCCCACAUGCACAAAAUUACCGAAAUACCCCUACAUGCCAAAAUUACCAAAAUGCCCCCAACAUCAUUAUUUUACCAAAUUAUCCUCAGAAUCUUCAAUUAAUAAAUUGUCCUCAAUUCAGAUCACGAAAUUAUCACAAUGUCAGAAAUUACGAAAUUACCCUCGGCACGUAAAAUUACCAAAAUGUCCUUAGCGACUUAAAUUACCAAAUUACCCUCGAAAUAUCAAAUUACCUCACUGCCCUAACAUAAAAUUACCAAAUUAUCCACUGAUUCCAUAAAUUACAAAUUCACCCUAAAUUUUUAUGAAUUUACCAAAUUGCCCGUACCGGUCAACGGUGACCGGACUUCAGUCAACGACAACGGGAAGCUUAGGUCUGAUAGUUCAGACCUCGGUGAGUCCAAUGGUGGUGCCCGUGAGUCCCCACGCGCGGCGAUAGCGGUAGAUCGAAGCUCCAAAAUCUGUGAGCUUUCCGGUGGUCGUUUGCAGCAAAGACGGCGUCCCUGGUGGUCGUGGUCAGUCGGAAAGUGACGAGUGUGAGUUAAGGAACAAGAUCCGAGUGGUGGCGGGAUUAAAGGCGGCGAAAACAGGUCUUGGCCGCGAAUUUUCGAGCUCAAUCGCCGGCUUUCUGGUAGGUUCCCGGCGGCGAGGAUGGCAGGGUUAUGACGGCCGGCUUCCAAGCUUCAUAUCGGUACCAAGCUCGGCCGGUGCGGUGGCCGGAAUCGCGAGAUCCAUUCGGGUCAAAGUCGCGGGUCGGGUCGGAUUCGCGGGUCAAACCGGAUCAAUUCUCUUUCUCUCUCUCUCUCUCACGUGCCCCUAGGGUUGGCAGAAAAGCCCGGGCCGGCCCAGGCCCGCGGGCUUUAAGCCCGGCCCGUGGCUUGAAAUUAUGGGUAAGGGCUCAAAGUUAAUAAAGCCCAUAACAUAUGGGCUCAGUCAAGGGCCUAAAUGAAAAGCCUGGGCUUUAUAAUAAAUAAUAAAUAAUAUAUAUAUAUAUUAAAAAAUGUAUAAUAUAUUAUAAAAUUGGAAAAAAAAUUAAUUGCUUUACAAAAUAAAUAUAUGUAUUAUAAAAUAUAUAUAUGUAUAAUAUAUAUAUAUAUAUAUAUAUAUUAAAAAAUGUAUAAUAUAUUAUAAAAUUGAAAAAAUAAUUAAACAAAAUAAUAAAAAAAUCGGGCAAAGGGAAAGGGCAAAGGUUUUGUCACAAAAUGUCAAAAUUCCUAAAUCGGUAAAUCUCUAUUAGUUUUUUUUUUAUAUUAGUGGUUGAUUUGUACGUUGUGUACGGUAUUUGUAUUGUUAGUAUUUUUAUAUUUUGUGUUGCUAAUCAUGUAUUAGAGAAUUAUAUUUAAGUUUUUAGCCUAUUGUAGUAUUAUGUAUUGGUUAAUUAUGUUUUGAAAAUUUAUAAUUUUAUUUUUUUAAAAAAAAUUUAAAAUUUCGUAAAAGCCCGGGCUUGGCCCGCGGCCCGGCCCGGCCCAGGCCCGUCAAGGCCCGGCCCGCCCAAAGCCCGCUCAACUUGGAUGGGCUUUGAGAGGGCCUGGACUUAUUUAACAUUAUAUGGGCCUGGUCCUGGGCUUGGCAAAGCCCGGCCCAGGCCCUUAAAUUGCCAACCCUACGUGCCCCCUCUCUCUUUCCUUUUUUGGAAACCAGCUUCCCACUUUCCAUUUAUAGAAACUGGCUUCUUUUUUUUUUUUUUGCACUUAAGCUUAAUACAAAUUAAGCUAAUACCGGACCGUGAGGAAAAUAAAAUCCGACUACCUGAGCUUUUAAUCGGGCUCAAUUUAUCUCGAUUUAAUGUUGUGAUAAUUUUAAAAUUAAUAUCGAAGAGGAAAAAUUAAUUCAUGCACUUAAUUAGGAAAAAUCAAAGUGCAUAUGUUACAUUUUUAUUUUAAUUUCAAGAAAUAGCUAACUUGUUCAUAUGAAUGAAUUGAAGUUUUUUUUUUGGGCUUUCUCAUCUCAUUAAUUCGUGUGAACAUUCAUGAGGGUUAAUUGAAUGAACAAAAUUUUAUUUUCUCAAUAAAUCUGCUAUCAUAAAAAACGUUUUGGCUCCUGUCUAAAAUUUGAAAAUCGUAGCAAAAAGUAUAACAAUAAAAUAAUUCUACAUAAUUUAUACUCACCAAUUAAUCAGGAAAAUAUAUUAGAUAUAACUUUGAUGGAAUCAACAAAGUGAGAUAGAAAGAAGAAAAAGUGUCUAAAGCUUCAAUUUUGUUAGUUUUUUAUGAAUGUCUCACCAUGUUAGGAAAUCAAUAGUGUGUGUGUGUGUAAAAUGAUGAGAUUGAGAAAAAAAAAAUUAAGGUUUAUGGUAUGGAUGUGAUAAAUGGGUUUGUUUAAUUAAUAUUAACAUCUUUGUUCAAUUGUUUAAGGUUUUCCUUUAUAGUUACUUCAAUUUUGGGUAAUUUAGGAAUAAUAAGUUGUUAUUACAAAAUUUAUAUUCAAAGUUGUUUCAAGGGUGAAAAAUCUAUACCCUUAUAAUUUUGUGUGUUAUGGCUCAUCAAGUGUGUUGUAUUACAAGUGAGUGAUUCAAAUUCAAAUAGAUAUUUUCAUUGGAUGUGUUUUUCCACACUAGGGUGGGACUAUAUUGCACAAAUGGAUGGAGAGUGCAGACCCAUAUUCGGCUUACAUAAAUUUUUGUUGGGCUGGAUUAUAUCCAAACAUGAUGCGAACGACACAACAUAAAUCAAACGCGGCUCCCCCUUGAGGUUAGUCAGCUUUGCAUUACAUUUAUUUUAUAUAAUGAUAACAAUUUAAAUGCAUUUAUCAAUUUUAUUAAUAUUGAAAUACACUUUAUUUUAAUUUUCUUUUCUUACCCUUUUCUUUCUCUCUCCUCUCUCUAAGUAAUGCUCUCCGCUUGAAAAAUUUUGGAUUAUUCAAUUUCAAUCGGUUAUAUUUUUACAAUCAACUUUUUCUUUUUCUUUUUCUUUUUCUUUUUCUAGUCCUGUGAAUCGGUUGGUUAGAAAGGAAGUGGUUUAGAAGAGGAACCACUUAGAAAAGCUUUGGUCUUGAAUUAGGCUUUAAUUGAAAAUUGGGUUUAGUUAUAACUUGAAGGCAUGUAAUUAGAAACGUAUUAUGAAUGUUUUUCUCCAGGUCGACAAUUUAGCUAAGUAUAUUUAUUGAACCCAUCAACAAAUAACAAUAACACAGCAAUUUUUUUUUCCCUACCUGAAAUGAAGCUUUUCAUUGAUUAACAAACAAAAGUUACAUUUCUUCAGCAGAACAAUCACAGCUUGAACUAAUAAUUGAAAAUGUUGCUAAAUCGUGACUUUUCAAUAGCUAAGGCACCAAAUCCCAAAAAAAAAUAAUAAUAAGGAAAUUACUUAAGUCACAGGGCUGUGACUUUUUUUUUUUUAAUUUAACUCAUUAACAAUAACAAAGAAAAACAUCUCAUUUCCACGUAAAAUGAAACUUUUCGUUGAUUGGAAAGCAAAGAACAAAGAAAAGCUGUAUUUCUUGCAGCCAAACAAUCACAGCUUGAACUAUCAAUAAAAUGUUUAAGUAAGGCACCAAAUUCAAAAAAGAAAAUUACUUAAGGCACAAUCCUGUGACUUUUUAGCCUACCAAUCCAAGCAACGAAGGAAUUCUUAGAAUUCCUGAAACCCAGGAACCCGUGCUCCUUACUCUUGUUCAUGCUAACUGAAUAACCCGCACCAACAUUCAUCACCAUAUCUGCAUACGACCAAACAGCGACCUCAUUCAAUUUUGUUGGCUGCAACUGAUUCUCUCUCACAAUCUCCUCCCACACACUUUCUUUACCUUUCAUAAUUUCCUCCAAUCUCACCCUCUCACUACCCUUUUCAUCUCCAAACCCAUAAUUCUCAAUCUCAAACUGCUCAGCCAACACUUUCCAUAAAUGCUUCCACUUAAAAACAUCUCCAUUGGUGCAAUUGAAAGCUUCGUUUCUUGCAUUAGGAUCCACUGCCGCCCAAAUUUCCUGCUCCGCAAUCAAAUCUGCAUCCGAAUAUUCUGAGAAGCCUUCCCAAGUUUCUUUCGUCCCAGGAAAUAGUAAAGGAAAACCUUCAUGUUUGCAAAUAGCAGCGUACACGCAGAGAGUGCCUACAAUAUUCAUCAAACUAUAAGGUGAAAACCCAAAUAUUCCGAAAGGUCGAUGUAUGGACCAAGUCAAGCCUUCUCUUUUUUCAACUUCUUCAAACAAUAUGUCUUCUUGAGUAUAGUAAAAAAGUGGUACGUUUAACCUCGGCAAAUCCUCUGUAUAAGGAGGUUCGUGAGACGGUAUCUUGCCAAUACACUCGAAUGGACCCACGUAAUGUUUGCCUCCCGUUUGGAGACAGAUGUGGCGGAGAUUCGGUGCGUUCGGGAUUACAGAACGGAGCACGUUACGAAACAUUGCACCGUUGAUCUGGCAAUUCUCGGCUUCAGUGGGACGGCUGGCCCACGUCACGUAGAAGAUGUGGGUGACGUCAGUGAGUUUUGAGAGCUUGGCUUGUGUCUCUUCCUGGUCAGAAAUGUCGCAUUGGAUGUACUCAAUUGGGCGAUUGGCAUUCCAGUCGGGCCUCGGACGUCGGGCAACUCCGUAGACCUUCCAUGGGCCACCAGGAGUAUCCGAUCGGGGCAUUAUCUCUGCUAGGCUGUUGCCUACAAUUCCUGUCACGCCUAAUAUAAGUCCCACAUUCUGGUAAUCUUGAGGUCGCUGCUUAUCUUCUUCCAAUUUCUUCUGUACAAGUAAAAAUAAAACAAACAUUAUUUUAAAUGUCAGCAUGUUACAUGUCCACUAACUUAACUACAGAGUUGAUGUUUACCUUCGCAGCGCCAAUAUCACCCGCCCACCACCAGCUCAUCUUUUGGUGAAUUUGAAAAUUGAUGAUAGGUUUGGUUUCUGCUUCUAGUUUUAUUUAUAGAGAGGAGUUGACAACUGUGUAAAUAGACUUUCACAAUGUUUUGAAAUAGUUUACAUUAUCAUAAACAUCUAACUCUGUUCACACAUAAAGAGGAGACUGCCAAUUAUACAAGUACUUUCUAGAAGGAAAUUACGUAUUCAACUGAAGUUAGAUUAUGUGAACCAUAUUGAAAGAUCUAAUGCAAUAAUGUCUGGUGAAAUCUAAUGCACUAAUGUGUGGUGAAAUGAGGUUCCUGCUGAAGGCCAACUUCGUACUAUCAUUGUCAGUCAAUUUGCGUGCCCACGGUUCUUCAAGCUCGGUGCCAACUCAAAUAAAUUAGUAGGCCAGUGUCGGUGAUCAUUGCACUAAAAUCGCUCUACGUUUAUUACGGAAGUUUCCGUAGGGGGCCCAGGUUUAAACCUAAAAUCAAAUACGUCUCUCAAUUUUUAAAUUGCUUAUGGCACAGUAGUCUAUAACUUUUCAGCUUUCAAUAUCAAUUUUGGAAAAAAAGGGGGAUUUAAAUUUACUGUCGAGCUGCUAUUUUUACUAAUAUUUUAGAAGCAUAUGGUUGAUAGUUAUUGGAUACAAAUAUAAAACUAAUUGAAUCUUAACUAUAUAUUGUUAUACAUGUACAUGUGGUAGAAGAUUAUGAAUAGUUAAGCAUAGAUCAACUCAGUAUUAAAUCCAAAUUCCAUAAACAGUCCUUUAAUUACUUGUAGUUUCUAAUCUCAUCCUCUCCUGGCAAACGUUAUUAAAAAAAAAGCAAAAGAGAGACAUCCCAUUUAAUUUAGAAGUUGUUUCUCAUUUAAGACUUGUUUGAUAAUGAGAUAUAGUAACUUUUAAUUUACAGUUACGACAAAAAGAAAAAAAGCUAUAAUUAUGAAAUAAUUUUUUUAAAAAAUAAAGAGACUAUUAAUCGACUAGUACUUAGUAUUUUACUGUUGUAGGUUUUAAGUCACUGAUGCCCAACCUCCGUAAGAAAUAGAAUCUUAAUUUAUUUCGCUUCUUUGAGGGUUUGAUAAAGAGAUAUUUGACCUGUUUAUAAGAAAAUAAUUGACAAGACUCUAAAAGCCAAAACAUCAAAUUUUUUCGUUAUCAGAUGGUGUAAAACAUAAAAUGAACACAAUACGCAUAUGUGGUCGGUGGAAAUAUCAAAAUUAUACUCAAAUUGAAAAUCUCAGCCAUUUGCACGCGAACUUUUGGUACAAUUGAUUGUGAAACUUGAUAUACGAAUAAAUGAACUUUUAUUUUUAAUUUCAGGAAAUGGCUAAAGUUGUUCACAUGAAUGAAUGGAAGAUUUUUUUUUUCCUUUCUCAUCUUAUUAAUCCAUCUGAACAAAAAAUUUUAUUUCCUCUAUAAAUCUGCCAUCAUGAAAAAAAAUUUGGCUGUUGUGUAAAAUUUGAAAAUCAUAGAAAAAGUAUAUCAAUAAAACAGUUUACGUAAUUUAUACUCACCAAUUAAUUAGGAAAAUGUAGUAGGUAUAACUUUCACGGAAUCAACAAGCUGAGAUAGAAAGAAGAAAAAGUGUCUAAAUUUAUUAGGCUUUGAUGAAUGUCUCACUAUGUCCGGAAAUUAACUGAGACAACAAUAAUAAAACGAUGAGAUUGAGAGACGUGAAAUUAAGGUUCAUGGUAUGUGAUAAAUGGGUAUGUUGAAUUAAUAUUAACAUUUUCGAUUAAUUGUAUAAAGUUGACUUCAGUUAUGGGCAAUAUUUUUUUUGUUUUAUUGAUAAGGGAAACGAGCCUAGCAAAAGUAGCUAAGGCUUAACAGUAAGAGGGAACGCAGUCCCUAAGGUAUCGCUACGCAGCCAGAAUUCAACACCAGGAGGGGGAAAAAGAAGACUGUGGAGCCCAAGAGGUAACGAGAGAGCAAAAGUAGCAAGAAAAUCAGGUGCGAAGUUUGCCUCACUGUAGAUAUGGUGCACAAAAACCUGCCAAUUUUGAGCGAGAAGAGCCUUGAUACUCUUGACAAGGGGAGACGAAGCAUUAAGCGUAUCAUUUUGAGCCUCCAAAAGCUAAAUCACGCAUAAGCUAUCAGCCUCAACAAUCAUCGAUCUGAUACCCCCGUUCCAUGCCAUGAGGAGACCCUGAUAAAGGCCCCACAGCUCAGCAAUUGUGAUUGAACACAGCCCAAUGUUCAUUCAAAAUCCUUCAACACAUUCUCCACAAUUGUUUCUGAUUAAGCCACCAGCAGAAGCCAAAUCCGAGGCCUUACGAGCUCCAUCCGUGUUCAACUUGAAGAAAGGCUACACAGGAGGCACGAAGCCAUAGUACAUCUCUACUCUCGUGGGCUUGUCCGUUAUGGCAAUUUAAUACAUAUUGUUAUUAAAAAGUAGUGCUAAGAGAUUAGUGUUAAAAAUUGUAUGUUUAUUAAGGGGUAAAAAUGUUAUUUUGUGCUAAUAAUAUAAUUUACGUUUGUAAAUAUGUAACAUAUUAUGAAUUUCUAAUUAUUUUUCUAAAUAUUUGAUUUUGUGUGUUUAUUAGGUAAAAAUAAUAAUUUCACACAAUUUGAGACUCCAAAUAAAUGUACGGAUGUCAAAUUUGGAUUCCGAAAGCCUGAGAAAUGAGGUCCUUGUCGAUCAGGAUCUGCGACUUUUGUUGUAAAUUUAUAAGUUGUUACCAAGGUAAAUGUGGUAAUUGUGAAAUUAUAAACUUUUACUAUAUUAGGUGUGGUAAUUGUUAGUGGCAUGUGUUAGAUGUGCUUGAGUGGAUUAAGUUAGGUUUAUGUUUUAUUAGUAUGACAAAUACAUGGUUAAGAUAUACUUAGCUUUAUUUAUUUGUGUGGUGUGGAUUAAUCAUGUAUUAGUAUAAAUAGAUAGGGGGGAACACACCUCUUCACACAUUUCCUUCUCUGCUUUCCCCUCAAAUUCUUCUUCUCAUCUCUCUUUGUAAUAAAUUUUCAAUAAAUAAAAUUAGUUUUAUUUUCAAUUUUCAAAUACUUUUUUUCAUUAUGUUGUUUUUUUUUAAUUUUAAUAAUUCCUUUUAUUUCAAAUAUGUUUAGCUAAAUACUAAUAGUUAGGGGAAGAUGAAACUCUUAGUAAAAAAAUAGGAUUUAAACAAAUUCUAUUUUUAAUUAUAGAAAUUAAUUAUUUUCCAUCUAAUUUUAUCCAUAUUUUAUAUUUUGAAAUUUUGAUUUAUUGUAGACAAACAUGGGGUUUAGCAUAAUGAAUUUUUAAUAUCUUAGUAUAAAGUAUGGUAAACUAGUAUUUUAACUUAUUGUAAACAAAUUAAAUUUUGGUACACUAAGUACUUAGUUCGUAAUAAAAUUAUUGGGAAAAUAAUUGUAAUUUAUACAAUUAAUCAUUUGGACAAUAACCUAAAAAUAAAAAGAAUUUAUUAAAUUGUAUUUGUUACUAAGAGGGGAUCUAGAACCUAACUAAUUUAAUUUUAUAGUUUUGAUCAAAUUAAACUGCACAUUUUAAAAUUUAUUUUCAUUAUUUUAAAAUAAAAAAAAAUUAAAUAUUUUCUCUGUAGAUCGACCUCAGAUUCAGUGACUCACCGAGCUAUAGUUUAACUAGGCACUCUUACACUUGGGAGUAAAUUAAACACUUUUAAGUCGUGCACUUAGAUUAGCUUUUGCUGCUAUUUAAACCCACUAAUUUCUUCUCUAUAACUAUUUUAAAAAAUAACUUUAUCAUUAAAGUUUUAAAAUUUGAAAAUCUCGAAAUUACCCCACCAAUUACUUUCUUUCUCUACUUUACAAUUACAUACUCUCCCAUUAUUCUCAUAUAUAGUCUACAAACAAAACACUCAAUUUCACUUUCUUUUGAAUUUUUUUUAACAUUUCUUAGUAUAUUAUGAUCUAUAUUUCAUGCUUUCUGUAUAUAAGAAAUUUUUUCCUUAAUAUUCAUUAGCUUUUGUGUUUAGUAAAAAUUAAUUUCUUGAUAUUCAUUCAUUUUCAUGACUGAUAAAAAUUUGUUGAUAUUCAUUUUUAAAUGAUGGAUUUUGUUCUUCUUAGUUAGUAAUACUUAUUCUUUAUAGGUAAAAGAAUAUAUUUGAAUGGAUUGAAGAGAAUUUGUAAAAUUAAGAAGAGAAAGAGAAGAGAGGAUUAAUUAAGAAAUUUUUUAAAAAUUAUUUAGAUAAUAAAGUUCUUAAUUAAAAUGAGGGUUUAGAGAGGAAAUCGAUAAGUUCAUAUAGCUCUUCCUUAGUUUUUAGAGUGCAAAUUUUAAUACCCUUAUAGUUUUGUGUGUUAUGGCUCCUUAAGUAUGUAGUAUUACAAGCAAGUGAUCCAAAUUCAAUUUGAUAUUUGUCUUUCUACAUUCUGGUGGGGUUGUAUUGCAUAAUCGAUGCAAAGGGCUCACUCAUGUUUGGCUUACAUAUAACUCCUAAUGAGCUAGAUUCUAUCUAAAACUAAUGUUGGGGAAUUUUAAUUCCACUCAAGAUCUUGAAAAUAAAAAUAUCAAAUAAAUAAUUAAUAAAAUAUACAGAUGAAGAAUAAAAUCAAUCCACUACAAGAAAAAUGGCCUACUAUGACAGGCAAAAACGGUUAUCUUAGGGGGUGGAUGACGGUUAUCCUUACUGUCAUUGUAGCCAGCGUCAAGAAAAGAUAACAGACAGAAACCCGUCACAAGUUGUGAUAAAUUUUACCUGUCAUAAUUCAGUCAUACAACUUAUAUAAGGGAAAUUGGCUUUUUUUAAUUUUUAUGUUUUAUGAAAUUAAAACUGUAAUUAGUAUUUGUGGAUAAAAGUUGUGUGUCAAAUGUUGUGACUAGUAUUUUCAAUCACAAUUUUUUUUAAAAUUGACUAUUUAUUUUAUUUAUUAAUUUAAAAAAUAAAAAAUAUGCAAUUUUAGUUUCCUCAAUUUAAAAUUUAAAUUAUAAAUUUUAUAUCAAAGAAAAUAAAUUAAUAAAUGCAAUCAAAUCCAAAACUAAUGAACUAAAUUAGUGAACUUUAUUAUCCAUAAAAAUAUCCAAAGUACUUCUAAAUUUCAAAAACAUACAAUUGAAACUUUACAAUUCAAUAGUUAAUCAAUAUUUCAAACUCAAGCCAACAGCCAAAAAAGACCAAUCCAAAACCAAAGCAAAGUACUCAGCAUUCAGCAACAUCCAGCACUAAAGCUAUGCAAAAUGUAGUCCUUUUCUAGCAGCAAAAUCCAGCAGCCCCCAAGCCAAGAAAGAAGUAUCCCAUUUCAUCAAUUGAAAAUAUUAAGUGAAAUAUAAGCAUUUACACAUGAAAAUAUUAAGAAUAACAUCUACAAAAAGGAAAAAAAAUACAAGUAAUAAUAGAAUACGAAAAUACUCAGUGAAAACUAAGGCGAGACCCCUUUUUUCCCUUCUCUGGAGUAAGGCACUAAAAGGGAUUAAAGAAAUUAUGAUUGUGUUCCACACCUGGAGCUGGUAGAGACAAACUCUGGUCAUGUAAUAUUUGCCUUGGCACCGUUUGAAUAUGUCUAUAUUAGUAUCCACAAAUUCAAGGAAGAUGAUUGGCCUACCUCUUACAUAUAUCAUAUUCAAGUCCAAACAGCUUUAUUCCUCGUGGGAUUUAUUUGAUCAAAUUAAUAGUUCAGGAUGAAAAAUGGUUAGAACCUCACAGUCAUCAAAAGUUACUGUCUCAUAAUUCAUUUUAGUGCUUAUAACACAGAGGAAAUAAAAUAAAAUAUCUAAACAUACAUUUAUCAUGUAUGUAAACAUUUUUUUUCUUUUCUUUAAAUACAGAGAGGACAGUAGUUAGUUAUUUAAUUGAAAGGAUGCAUAGAAAGUUUCUUUAAACCAAUACUAGUGGUUAAGUCUCAAAAAGAAAUAUUAGUCCAAAUUCAUUACUUCCAAUCAAGCAAAAGCAUGCAGUAUCAAACAGGAAAUGCAUCCUCAGGACCCAUAAGCCAAUUUGUACUCCAUUACUAUCAAUUUCCUAGCUGGUCAAUUUUUUAUUUUUUAUUUUUAUUUUUUUGUGGGUAUCUCUUAGGUAUCGAAAGUCAAACCCUAAGUAAUCAAACAAAUUCAGAUAGUGCUUACCCAAUACAAGAUAUUGGAGAUUAAAUCCAAGAGUAACGGAAUGCAGAAAGUACCUUUUUUGAAGAAAAUGUCAGUGACGUCUUUCGAAGGUAAGGGUCCCAGUAAACAACAGGAUCCACUUUCUGAUUCAGCACAACAUUUCCACAUUUCCAAUCAAGGGAGCUUGAUAAAUACUGGAUGAUGUUAAGACCAAAAUCAGUUUUAAACGAUUUGUCUUCCAAGAUCGUACAACACGCAGGGAAAAUGCCAGUGAGUGGGUGAUCAUAUCUCUUCCUCCAGCGAGGAUAUUAUUAUAUAUACAUAUAUAUGCACACUAUAAAACUACUGAUCAUACAUUCAUCCAUUAAUAAUUUUUAUUUUAAUCGUCUGCACAAAUUAAAGGGAAAUGAUCAGCCUAUCCUCGACCUCAAGCAUGCACCAAUAGCAUUACAAAUAAUUAAACUUUUCUCCAAUCAAAUUUCUUAACUAGCUAAUAGGAAUGAUAAUUAGUAAUAAUAAGAGAUUAAUUAGAAACUUCAAAGAAAUACAACGUGUGCAUAAGAUUUAAUUCCUCAGUUCAUGUUUUUCUAAUAAUUUCAAGAUAACUAGCUUAUUUAUUUAUCAGCACAAGAUGAAGUCAUUUUAACUAUAUGUAUCUACUUUUACAAGCUAGGUAGGAGUACUAGAACUAUUGUUUAUGAAAUUAUAUUUAUAAAUAAAUACUUGUGUAUGCAUGUGAUCAAUAUAUAUAUAUAUAUAUAUAUAUAUAUAUAUGCACACACACAAAUUACAAGAUUGAUUGAUCGGGCUGAUGGAUAUAUCUAUGUAUGCAUGCAUUUAUUCCUUAGUUUUUUUCUUUAAAUUAAAUUGUAAUUCUCAAAAAAGAAAAAGAAUAAUCACAGCAACAGGCAUUUAGUCCUUAGUUUUGGAGGAUCUGUCCUUCUCCUUCCUCUGUCCUCCAAGAAUACGAGAAAUCUGUAAACCUUUAUGCACUAAAUACUUAGUUGAACAACAUUCUUGUUUGAAAUUCUAAAACAAAUGGGAACCACGCCAAGAAUGCAACCGGGGUGAAUAGAAGCAAUCCCAUCACUAUUUCAUAACCAUGAGCAAGUGUCCUAACUGAUCCCCAAAUUCCACCAUGUUGUAUCACUGGCUUACAAGCUUGUAAGAUCUAUAUACAGUUCCACGCAUCCAUAAAAAGAAAAAAGAUUACUUAUUAGAAAAGCCCCAAUGAUAAGCAAGCCUGGUCAAUAUCCCAACACCCAUCACGAUUAAAUUGGCAAGGAUCUUCAUAGCCUAAAUCAAAUUUAAUGAUAAAACUAUAAUAAUUGAAUUCCAAAAAAAAUCAAAUAAAUGUUUAAAAUUUCAAAAAUAAUUAAACAUAAAAUACCAAUCAAGUAGAUCCAAAUUUAACAAGAGCACACCGAGGAUUUUCAAAUUUUACAUGUAUAGGGUUUAAAUUUGAUGACAACACAUCUAGGGUUUUCAAGAUUUAGGUGUCUAGGGUUCGAAUUUGACAAGAACACAUCUAGGUUUCUCAAGUUUUACAUAUCUAGGGUUUGAGUUUGACAAGAACAUUAAAAUUGAAAUGGAACACAACACUAGAAACAUUAUUUACCUGUAUUAUUCAAACGAUUGCAGCAGUGGGUGAGUGAAUGAAACGACCCUCCCCGAACCCCAGGGUAAGUGUAUCUAACCUCAUCCAAACUGGAUUGAUAAUAAUCUAAUUAGUAAGGAUUUUGCCAAAAAAUCGACAGUCUCUUUUAUAUAUAUAACACUCCCAACCUGCAAAUAUAUAAGACAAGCACUCCCAAUAUAAUUCAAUACACAACAAACUCCAACGUUCAACAUCCUCAACCACAACACUGAGCUUUACUCAAGAUAUCUCCAGAAUCUCAAAAGAUAAUAUUAUAACUAAUAUUAAUAUCUCAGUUUAUUCUUAAUCCCAAAAGAAUAAUAUAACAAAAUUAUACAAUCCCAAAAGAACGAGAUAACCAAGAUGUCCUAACAAAAUCAUCUAUAUCUUCUAACACCAUCACGUGGCCAAUACUCAAAAUAUAUUUACAGUCGUUGGGUUGGUCUAAUGUACCUGCAACCUCCUGAUGGGGGGGAGGAAUAUAAUAAAAAUGGAGUGAGUAUAAAACUCAGUGAGAUCAGUGAGUGGAUAGUAGUUUUUAAAAAUCAAUUAUUACUUCAAAAGAAAUAAUCAUAUCAUUUCCAAACACGAUUUCAUCAAACCAUAUGCGAGAAACCAGUAAUAAAUCAUUUAACAUUUAAAUCAAAUUACUAACAAUGAAAAGCAUAUAGAAUACACAAAUCUGAAAAUCAUCACCAAACAAGUACCCAGGGAAAUAACCUCGUCAUAUUCGGACCUCAACGGACGGGCAAUGACGUACUAUCUAGGUACCGUCACGCCCCGGAGCUACACGGAUAGACAGGGAAAUAUCAUCUCAUAUCUCAUCAUAUCUGUGCAUACAUAAUCUAGUUCCCAAGGGAUAAAAGCACCCAAGCACACAGCCCAAAGCCUCUGUGUGUGCUCAGACGGGCCCCAAAGGCCUAUAUCUCAUAUGUAUUAUAUGUAUCUCAAUAUCUGUCUAUAUCUCAUAUUUGUAUAUUUGUAAUCAUCAUACUGCAUGCAUAUGCCCCCAAAAGACAAAAAUGCUCAAACACACGGUCCAAAGCCUCUAUGUGUGUUCAGAUGGGCUCCAAAGGCCUCUCAUCUCAUAUCAUGUGUAUCACUAUAUCUGGAAGGGAAUGGUAUUGUCUAAUGAUUUCAAAAACAAUCAUUAUACUCAUAUUCACAUACCUUUUACCCAUACUUUAAAUCAUAUCACAUUUGAAUCCACUUUUCUUAUCUUUAAAAUACUAUCAUGCUUAUUCAAAGUCGAUACGCAAAAUCAUUAACCAAACAUUUUAAUAAAAUACCAAUGCGUGAAUAAAAUCUAUUUCAAGGGAAUCAUUAAAUCAGAACAUUUAAAAUACUUAUUUCUCAAAUAUGCUUUACUAUUAUAAUUAACUAUGAAAUUAAGUUUUGUAUAUUCCACUCACAGUGACGGUGUUCACGCUCGUUAUCGUCCACGUCCGCGGACCGAUUCUCGCUUGCGAAUCCCCCUAAAUUAUGGAAACGACAUAAUUAUUUUCUGUAAAUCGAAAUUACGACUAAAUUUAUGCAAUAAACUCGAAACGAAAUUCGAUCCAUAAUUUACAACUCUCGUGUCGAUAAAAUUACUAAAAUACCCUUGAGUUCGUAAAUCAUUAACAUACUCUGAAAUCGUAAAUCACCGAAUUACCCUCGGAAUCAUAAUUACACCCAAUCCUCAAUUCUAGGAAUUACUAAAAUAUCCACAGGCUCAAAAAUUACAAAAUUGCCCUUAUAGUGUGAAAUUACCGAAAUGCCCUUCCAGGUCAAUGGUCACCAAAAUUUAGUCAACGCUGGCCGAGAAGGUCAAGUCUGAAAUUUAUGGUCACACUGAGUCCAACGGUGGCAGUGGUGACCUCCCACGCGCGGUGAUGGCUCCGGAUCGAGCUCCCAAAGUUGUAACUCCUUCAACCGAUCAACGGCAAAACGAUGUCCCUGGUGGCAGUGGAUGGUCGUAAAUGGAAGAGGGAGUCUCGGGGAACAAAAUCCAACCGGUGGUGUUACCCAAAAUCGGCGAAAAUCCCAGUGGAGCAAAGUGGAAAAGUCGAGGGUUUUCAAGCUUUGGUCGCCGGCAUUUUGGUUGUUUUUCGGUGACGUGGACGGCAAGGGUAUAAUGGCCGGUCUUCAAGCUUCAAAUUGGUACCAAGCUUGACCGGAACGGUGGCCAGAAAUGGAAGUUACGACCGAGUCAAGGUCGCGGGUUCCAGGUCGGGUUUGAUAGCUUCUCUCUCACUCUCUCACACGUGUGUCUCUGUUUUGCUCUGUUUUCCAACUUCCUCUUUUACUUAUUCUAACUUUUUAACCACCUCAUUUUAUUCCUUUAUUUAAUUCACAUAUGUUACAGUGAAGGUUCUCAGUUAGGGUAUUGAAAUUCAAUAGUGGCAGAACACGCGUUUGAUAGGCACUCCUUGUAGUUCUUGGUGAGGGCCUAAAUCAACGGUGAAAUACAAGAGAAUGUCGGCGGCAGUUCAGUGCCUAUGCAAGGAUUUUGGGCGAAAAGGGCUUUGUGAGCGUAAGAUUGAUGAGAGUGACUAAGCAAGAGACAAGAGUAAAAGUGCCAAUACUCACUGAGAAAAAAAAAUUACGAUGAGUGAUAACUAAAGAGGGUUUCAUUUUUAUUUAGUUUUAAUCUAAACGGUGUCGUUCCUUGUUUAAAGAGAAAACUUUUAACCCAAAUGGUACUGUUUAUUCUUUAUUUAUCUUUUUCAUUCAUUUUAAAAUUUUCAGUCAACCCUGCAAAAUAAACUCAAAAUAAAAAUAUUGUUUGACGACCAAAAUUAUAUCACAAACUUGUCAUUGUUUUUUGAUAGCCAAAUAAUUUAUCACUAGUCUAUCAUAAGUGCUUGAUAGAUGAAAUUUAUAUCACAAGUAUGUCAUAAACGCAUGACAAAAAAAAAAUAUCAUCGAUCUAUCGUUGUAACUCUCAACACCAAAAACUGUCACAUAAAGGACUGUCAUAAUAGGUCCUUUUUCUUGUAGUGAUCAAACAAUACAAAAAUUUAUGAAAAAAACUCUUGUACCAGAGAAAAUCAUGCAACUAAGGACAAUGAGGGAAAAAUUUACUACAUGGAAAAUUAUUGCAAUUACUUGAGUAUUUUCCUCAAACCCCAAAUCCUAAUAACACUCAUUCUCUCAAUAGUCUUAUUGUUUCUCUUACAUUAGAAAUUGUCUACUUGCUUAUUUUUAUAUGACCAAGCAAACCAAACAUCCUCAUAUACAGUGAUUAUUUCUUAUAGGAGAAGUUUUUAUUUCCUUAUAUAAAUUAUAUUCCUCUUUGAAUAAGUUAUGUCCCAAAUGAGGAAUUUCUUAUUCCUCAAAUAUGAAUUCUCCAAAAUAAGAAAAUAGCCUUGAAAACCCUUAUACUGGAAAAAGGAGACAUAUUUCCUAACAAUCUCCACCUUAACAAGUUUUUUGAUUAAGUGAAAAAAAAAAUAUAUAAUCCACCGUGUAUCCACACAAGCAUGUUGUCUGCAUCUUCUUUCCUCCACCAAAAUCACAUUCAUAUAGGGCUUAUGAGAAUCACUCUAUCAUGGGUAAAAUCUUGUCACGACUAUAAUUCUCCACAUUGAAAAUCAUCAUACUCCACUUUAUAUAGAGUACACAUAUUCAGCACAUCUCGGUCACCUUGCUGAAAAUCCUACUCUCAUGUUUGGCUUCCUUAAGAGUCAUCAACCAUUAACAUAAAAAUUCUACCAUACACCUUGUAUAAAUGUCAAACUAUGUCUUGCGUGUAAAUUUAUGGACCUGCUAGCAGUAACACAUUCUCUUUCAUGACACGCCAAAAAGGAUAAAUUAGUCUCUCGUGAAGAAAAGAGACACACCACUAGAUGAGAUUACUAGUAUUUCCAUCUACUAAUUUAAAUCUACUUGCCAAACCUGCCUCAUUCCAACAAUCUUUAUUAAGAUGCCUUGAUUGUCUACACACCUCUAGGAGUUUCCAUCAGUGGGAACAUGGUUUACAUCGUCUUUACUUUCAUUGUUUAACAUAGAUUGGAUAAACAUAUAUCUUUGACUUCAAUCUGUCCCAAGCCAAAACUUUUUCUCCCAUUAAACUUUCUAUUUUACCUUCACAAGUUUUGAAACCCUCUUUGCUGAUAUAUUUGCUCUGCAUUGCAACCUUAACUUUAAUACCACUUGUUACAAAAUUUUAAUUCGAUCCAAGAUCUUGCAAGUAAAAAUAUCAAACAAAUAAUAAAUAGAAAAUACAGAUGAAGAAUAAAACUAAUUAUACAACAUAAGAAUUUUAAAUGGAAACUCUAAUACAGGAGAAAAACUAUACUGUAAAAAAAAAAGACAUAAAAUUUUAUUAUGUGAAAAAUUAUUUCAACUACUCUGGCAUUUUUCUCACAGCCAAAACUCCAAUAACACUAAAUCUCUCAAUAGACAUAUUGUUUCUCUCACAUUCAAAAUUGUUCACUUGCUAAUUUUUAUAUAACAAGUGAACCCAACCUCCUUAUAUAUAAUGAUUAUUUAUUUCUUGUAGGAAAAAUGUUCAUUUUCCUUGUACAAGUUGUAUUCCUCUUUAAAUAAGUUAAGUCUUAAAGGGAAAGUUACUUAUUCCUUAAAUUGGAGUCCUCCAAAAUAAGAAAAUAAUAUAGAUAAGAAAUUCUUAUUAAAAAAAGAAAACAUAUUACUUAACACCUAUGCAGUGGUAAAGAAUCAACCGCAACACUAUUUUUGUUUACCUUAUAUCUACCAUCAAAGCUUCGGUAGGAUUAAAUAUAAAGGUAAAUUUUUCUGCACACGCAUUAAAAUCGACAUAAACAAUUUACUACUCUUCCCCAAGAAUUAUGAGAAUAGGCUAUGAACAAUCUUUUAGAAUUUCUAAGUAUUGACAGCUCUGACUCAAUAAAAUUACAAUUAUACUCCCUAACCGGAAUAAUUAUGAAAAAAUGACAUAAAUGCCCAAACCUUUAUUUUAAUUUCAUUUCUCACCCAUUAUCUUUCUCUCUCCUCUCUCUAAAUAAUGCUCUCCAGUUAAAAAAUUAUGGAUGUUUCAUUCUAAUGGAUUAUAUUUUCACAAUUUAUUUUUCUUUCCCAUUUUCCUUUUCAUGUCCUUUGAAUCAGUUAGUUACGACGGACUAACAAAUUAAAGAAGCAUUGGACUGGGAUUAGGCUUUGAACGUCGAGUGGUCAUAACUUGAAGGCAUGUAAUCAGAAAUGUAAAAUGAAUGCUUUUAAGCUCGAAAUUCAGUACAGUUUUUGACUAUUGGCACACCUCUAACUUUCUCGUCAAACCCCUUUUCUAUAGAUAUCCUUUUUAAUUCUUAAAAUAACCUCAUUUGCUAUACUUUCUUAAUAAACCACUGCAUAGGACGAAAAAACAAAAACUUCUAUCAAUGAGCUCUCUCUCUCCCCUCUCCCAUUUCAAGCACUUACAAUUUCUUAUUGACUAUAGCAUUCAUGAAUUUCUGAUUUUAAUCUCUAUCUAUCUUUAUUUUUCUUAGUAGGUAAUAACUUGAUUAUGUAUACAAAGACAAGUAUAUGCAUAUCUGAAAGAAAAACUUGGCGUAAGUAAAUAAAUUUCACCGAAUAAUCUUUCCUAAAAUAACUUAGUUUAUAUUUAGAUCAAAUUCUUAUCUUAUGAGAAUUCAUUGUUUUCUCAAAUUUUGUAGAUUUUAAAGUGUUUUAGAAUGGAGAAAAAAACUAAGAAAACAACAUAGGUUAGUUUAAUCAGAUAAGUUUUAUUUUUAAUAUAAUUUAAAAUAUAAAGAAUAAAUUUAUAAAUAUAAAAUAAGUGGAAUUUCAUAAGAGAUAUAGAGGAGUGCGAAUAGCGCCACUCUUUUAUUUAACUCAUUAACAAUAACAAAGGCAGCAGUUUUUCUUUUUUUUUAAUCUUUUUUCCCCCAGAAACGACACUUUUCAUUGAUUGGAAAGCAAAGAACAAACGAAAGCUGCUUUUCUUCCAGCCAAACAAUCUCAAUUUAAACUAUUAAUUGGAAGUUUUAACUAAGGCACCAAAUUAAAAUAAAUAAAUAAAAUUACUUAAGGCACAAUCCUGUGACUUUUUAGCCUACCAAUCCAAGUGACGAAGGAAUUCUUAGAAUUCCUGAAACCCAAGAACCCGUGCUCCUUACUCUUGUUCAUGCUAACUAAAUAACCCGCACCAAUAUUCAACCCCAUAUCUGCAUAUGACCAAACAGCAACCUCAUUCAAUUUCGUUGGCUGAAGCUGAUUCUCUCUCACAAUCUCCUCCCACACACUUUCUUUACCUUUCAUAAAUUCCCCCAAUCUCAUCCUCUCACUAUCCUUUUCAUCUCCAAACCCAUAAUUCUCAAUCUCAAACUGCUCAGCCAACGCUUUCCAUAAAUGCUUCCACUUAAAAACAUCUCCAUUGGUACAAUUGAAAGCUUCGUUUCUUGCAUUAGCAUCAACUGCCGCCCAAAUUUGCUGCUCCGCAAUCAAAUCUGCAUCCGAAUAUUCUGAGAAGCCUUCCCAAGUUUCUUUCGUCCCAGGAAAUAGUAAAGGAAUGCCUUCAUGUUUACAGAUAGCAGCGUACAUGCAGAGAGUGGCUAUAAUAUUCAUCAAACUAUAAGGUGAAAACCCAAAUAUUCCGAAAGGUCGAUGUAUGGACCAAGUCAGGCCCUCUCUUUUCUCAACUUCUUCAAACAAUAUGUCUUCUUGAUUAUAGUAAAAAAGUGGUAUGUUUAACCUUGGCAAAUCCUCAGUAAAAGGCGGAUCGUACGGUAUCUUGCCGAUACAGUCGAAUGGUCCCAG
RNAcentral lists this long non-coding RNA (23911 nucleotides) under Citrus x clementina. RNAcentral describes it as "Citrus clementina (C. clementina) long non-coding RNA (CCLE_LNC002740)". The record is from RNAcentral. Lineage: Eukaryota; Viridiplantae; Streptophyta; Magnoliopsida; Sapindales; Rutaceae.